CGGAGGGAUCAUUACUGAGUUACCGCUCUAUAACCCUUUGUGAACAUACCUAUAACCGUUGCUUCGGCGGGCGGCGCGGCCACUGCGGCCCGCCCCCCGGCCCCGCUCGUCGGGGCGCCCGCCGGAGGAUACCCAAACUCUGAUUUAACGACGUUUCUUCUGAGUGGCACAAGCAAAUAAUCAAAACUUUUAACAACGGAUCUCUUGGUUCUGGCAUCGAUGAAGAACGCAGCGAAAUGCGAUAAGUAAUGUGAAUUGCAGAAUUCAGUGAAUCAUCGAAUCUUUGAACGCACAUUGCGCCCGCCAGCAUUCUGGCGGGCAUGCCUGUUCGAGCGUCAUUUCAACCCUCAAGCUCUGCUUGGUGUUGGGGCCCUACGGUUGACGUAGGCCCUCAAAGGUAGUGGCGGACCCUCUCGGAGCCUCCUUUGCGUAGUAACUUUUGUCUCGCACUGGGAUCCGGAGGGGCUUCUGGCCGUAAAACCCCCAAUUUUUCCAAAGGUUGACCUCGGAUCAGGUAGGAAUACCCGCUGAACUUAAGCAUAUCAAUAAGCGGAGGAAAAGAAACCAACAGGGAUUGCCCCAGUAACGGCGAGUGAAGCGGCAACAGCUCAAAUUUGAAAUCUGGCCCUUUCGGGC
RNAcentral lists this ribosomal RNA (636 nucleotides) under fungal endophyte. Its description in RNAcentral is "eukaryotic LSU rRNA". The stretch from base 185 to 338 matches the Rfam family "5.8S ribosomal RNA". The record is from RNAcentral. Lineage: Eukaryota; Fungi.